RNAcentral lists this ribosomal RNA (339 nucleotides) under uncultured bacterium. RNAcentral's name for it is "partial 16S ribosomal RNA". It matches the Rfam family "Bacterial small subunit ribosomal RNA", at positions 338 to 693 of the family's 1533-position model. The record is from RNAcentral.
CCUACGGGUGGCUGCAGUGGGGAAUAUUGCACAAUGGGGGAAACCCUGAUGCAGCGACGCCGCGUGAGUGAAGAAGUAUUUCGGUAUGUAAAGCUCUAUCAGCAGGGAAGAAGAAAGACGGUACCUGACUAAGAAGCCCCGGCUAACUACGUGCCAGCAGCCGCGGUAAUACGUAGGGGGCAAGCGUUAUCCGGAUUUACUGGGGGUAAAGGGAGCGUAGACGGGUGUGCAAGUCUGAAGGGAAAGGCCAGGGCUCAACCCUGGGACUGCUUUGGAAACUGUGGAGCUAGAGUGCUGGAGAGGUAAGGGGGAUGUCGAGUGGAGGCGGGAAAUGCGGAG